Molecule: long non-coding RNA, 625 nt
Filed under: Sinocyclocheilus anshuiensis
Lineage: Eukaryota; Metazoa; Chordata; Actinopteri; Cypriniformes; Cyprinidae
Description: lncRNA (ENSSANG00000010276.1)
Source: RNAcentral
CCUCGCGGCACUCUAUAGCUUUUGUUUCCAUAGCAACUACGGUGGACGCGAAUGUACAAACAUGAGGUGAACAGAGAAGAAGGACGAAAAGUGUUUGUUAAAUACUUAUGAGAUGCUCUGUCGCCAUCAUUAGUAUUUUUAUACCGUUGCAAUGACACCGAUAUAGUUUACUUCAGCUGCAAAUGUAUGCCUCUAUUGUUGCUUCGCUCACAAAUACCCAUCGUUUUCCCAGGGCGUUGGUAGAUUUGUUCCCGGAUUUAUAAUGAUGGAUGACAUCGAACAGGCAAUAGAUGAGGAGCUGAUGAAAUUAAACCUACAUCCUUCUGAAAAUGACUCCGAAUCAGACGACGACAACUUCACUGUUUUGGAUGGAAAUCUGCAUUCAGAAAAUGAGCUGCCUGACUCAGUAUUCACAUAUGUUGAAGCUUCAAGAAAUCGAAUGAAUACCUUUGAACAAUUAAUCCUUGAAGAUGUUGAAGAAAAGGACUUCUCAAGCCAGAACCUGUCUCACCUUAAUCACAAUGAACCAGCUUCAGAUUUCAUACACGACCCCAUGAAGUGGAAAGAGCGAGUGAGUCAUGGUUAUUUGUUUGCGGUUAAAUGGAAAUGGUAUUCCAUCUGAGGC